Molecule: ribosomal RNA, 497 nt
Filed under: uncultured bacterium
Lineage: Bacteria
Description: partial 16S ribosomal RNA
Rfam family: Bacterial small subunit ribosomal RNA
Source: RNAcentral
GAUGAACGCUGGCGGCGUGCCUAAUACAUGCAAGUCGAGCGAACAGACGAGGAGCUUGCUCCUCUGACGUUAGCGGCGGACGGGUGAGUAACACGUGGAUAACCUACCUAUAAGACUGGGAUAACUUCGGGAAACCGGAGCUAAUACCGGAUAAUAUAUUGAACCGCAUGGUUCAAUAGUGAAAGACGGUUUUGCUGUCACUUAUAGAUGGAUCCGCGCCGCAUUAGCUAGUUGGUAAGGUAACGGCUUACCAAGGCAACGAUGCGUAGCCGACCUGAGAGGGUGAUCGGCCACACUGGAACUGAGACACGGUCCAGACUCCUACGGGAGGCAGCAGUAGGGAAUCUUCCGCAAUGGGCGAGAGCCUGACGGAGCAACGCCGCGUGAGUGAUGAAGGUCUUCGGACCGUAAAACUCUGUUAUUAGGGAAGAACAAAUGUGUAAGUAACUAUGCACGUCUUGACGGUACCUAAUCAGAAAGCCACGGCUAACUACGUG